This 503-nucleotide ribosomal RNA is filed under the name uncultured bacterium. Its description in RNAcentral is "bacterial SSU rRNA". It matches the Rfam family "Bacterial small subunit ribosomal RNA", at positions 223 to 722 of the family's 1533-position model. The record is from RNAcentral.
UGAGGGGCCUGCGUAGCAUCAGCUAGUUGGUGGGGGUAAUGGCCUACCAAGGCGAAGACGCUUAGCUGGUCUGAGAGGAUGAUCAGCCACACUGGGACUGAGACACGGCCCAGACUCCUACGGGAGGCAGCAGUGGGGAAUAUUGGACAAUGGGCGCAAGCCUGAUCCAGCCACGCCGCGUGAGUGAUGAAGGCCUUCGGGUCGUAAAGCUCUGUGGGGAGGGACGAACGGCGCCAUGAAGAGUGGCGAUUGACGGUACCUCCUUAGCAAGCACCGGCUAACUUCGUGCCAGCAGCCGCGGUAAUACGAAGGGUGCAAACGUUGCUCGGAAUCAUUGGGCGUAAAGCGCACGUAGGCGGCUUUCUAAGUCGGAUGUGAAAUCCCUCGGCUUAACCGAGGACGUGCAUCCGAAACUGGGAGGCUUGAGUAUGGAAGAGGGUCGCAGAAUUCCCGGUGUAGAGGUGAAAUUCGUAGAUAUCGGGAGGAAUACCAGUGGCGAAGGC